UGAAAACUCACCUUGGAGAGUCCAGCCUGGAACGGAAGGCCGGGCACCGCGGGCCACACACAAUUGACUCUUACUGGGAGGGGCUCCGAAAGGAUGAGCCACGCUCCCUGCAGCCCUCGGCGGAUCGCCUAGGAGGAGGGCUCCGGGCUUCAACCGGGGAAGCAUCGUUGUCUUUCCCGAAGAAGCCGAUGCCCCACAGGAGUUUUCUUCUCUACUGGGUGGGCAGCUCCGCGUGACCGCACCGCGCGGCCACCCGGCGGUCUGUAACUUUUGCCAUAGCGCCGCGUGGGUGCGGCAGGCCGCCGGCCCAUGCGCAGUGGCCUCUCGCAGGAUCCUCCCACCGCGCAGGCUCGCCUGUCAGCUCUUCGCCCCGGGAGGGGUGCUACCUUCGGGUCCCCGGGGAGGAGGGGGAGUCCGCGCGGAGGGCCAUAAUUUGACCGAAUAUUGAUCUGAAGCACUUCGACGUCUUAGAGGAAGCCGAGUCAAGUUAGUUUUGUAAGAAUCAAGACCUUCACUCUGAGUCAUCUACUUACCUCUGAAGGUGUGGGGCCCACUGGGUGUUCAGGGCUCCAGCUGUGGACCAAC
This is a long non-coding RNA of Equus asinus (donkey), 585 nucleotides long. NCBI's taxonomy places the organism in Eukaryota, Metazoa, Chordata, Mammalia, Perissodactyla, Equidae. The record is from Ensembl.